RNAcentral lists this ribosomal RNA (467 nucleotides) under uncultured bacterium. RNAcentral describes it as "partial 16S ribosomal RNA". It matches the Rfam family "Bacterial small subunit ribosomal RNA", at positions 28 to 507 of the family's 1533-position model. The record is from RNAcentral.
GACGAACGCUGGCGGCGUGCUUAACACAUGCGAGUCGAACGGAAAGGCCUCUUUCGGGGGGUACUCGAGUGGCGAACGGGUGAGUAACACGUGAGUAACCUGCCCUUGACUUUGGGAUAACUUCAGGAAACUGGGGCUAAUACCGGAUAGGAGCUCCUGCUGCAUGGUGGGGGUUGGAAAGUUUCGGCGGUUGGGGAUGGACUCGCGGCUUAUCAGCUUGUUGGUGGGGUAGUGGCUUACCAAGGCUUUGACGGGUAGCCGGCCUGAGAGGGUGACCGGCCACAUUGGGACUGAGAUACGGCCCAGACUCCGACGGGAGGCAGCAGUGGGGAAUAUUGCACAAUGGGUGGAAGCCUGAUGCAGCAACGCCGUGUGCGGGAUGACGGCCUUCGGGUUGUAAACCGCUUUCGCUCAUGACGAAGCUUUGUGUGACGGUAGUGGGUAAAGAAGCACCGGCUAACUACGUG